CCUACGGGGGGCAGCAGUGGGGAAUAUUGCACAAUGGGGGAAACCCUGAUGCAGCGACGCCGCGUGAGUGAAGACGUAUUUCUGUAUGUAAAGCUCUAUCAGCAGGGAAGACAAAAGACGGUACCUGACUAAGAAGCCCCGGCUAACUACGUGCCAGCAGCCGCGGUAAUACGUAGGGGGCAAGCGUUAUCCGGAUUUACUGGGUGUAAAGGGAGCGUAGACGGCUGUGCAAGUCUGAAGUGAAAGACCAGGGCUCAACCCUGGGACUGCUUUGGAAACUGUGGAGCUAGAGUGCUGGAGAGGUAAGUGGAAUGCAGAGUGUAGCGGUGAAAUGCGUAGAUAUUAGGAGGAACACCAGUGGCGAAGGCGGCUUACUGGACAGUAACUGACGUUGAGGCUCGAAAGCGUGGGGAGCAAACAGGAUUAGAUACCCGGGUAGUC
RNAcentral lists this ribosomal RNA (441 nucleotides) under uncultured bacterium. RNAcentral describes it as "partial 16S ribosomal RNA". It matches the Rfam family "Bacterial small subunit ribosomal RNA", at positions 338 to 795 of the family's 1533-position model. The record is from RNAcentral.